This 1633-nucleotide long non-coding RNA is filed under the name Gallus gallus (chicken). The record is from RNAcentral. Lineage: Eukaryota; Metazoa; Chordata; Aves; Galliformes; Phasianidae.
CAGAAGCAGCAGUACACUACCAGCUCUUGAUCUAGAAGUCCAGAUAAGACUACAACUACAGUUUUCUACAUGCUGCUCACUCCCUGCAUUACUACCUGUAGGUAGCACGGUUUUUAACAACAUAAAGAAUACAGUUAAGAAUCAAAGCCAGUGGGUAUUUAUUCAUUGUUUUCCAACAGAAGCACAAGUUCAAUGCCUGCACCCCCUUAUACUGUGAGUUGUCAUAGUCAAUGCGAGAGCUCUAGAAACAUUCUUUCUUAAUCAAGAUUUAUUUGGCUUUUGUUUGGUGAUCACAGACACUACAAUUUUACAACUGUUCUUAUUCACAUAGUUUCUUUUUAAUAUAAAAACUAUAGUUUUAUUUUUUUCUAAGCCUAUUUCAAAUAUCUUUUAUUUGAACUUUGUAGACAAGCUCUCCUUUAAAACUAAAUGUGAAGUACCAGCUGACAUUCAGUCUAUCAGUCAGAAACUUUUACCUAUUCAGUACUUAAAGAUAAAAGUUUCCAGUCUUUGACGUGGCAGUUACAAAGUUGUUGGAAAAUAAACCUACACCUACCAAAAAUAACUUUGUCACAGAUAUACAUUACUCGUCAAGAAAUCCAACACUAGGGAGCAGUUCACGAGAUAAGCAAUUCUACUGAUGGUACAACCACAGAUAAAUAACUAAAAUGUUAAGAUGUUCUCAACAUAUUACAAAUUCCGACGUCUGUGUUGCGCUUCAUUUAAUAAGAUAGAAAAACUCUUCCUCCCAAUCUGUGGAACGAGAAGCCACGUUAAGACUUCAAAAAGCCUCUCCGUUUUGUAACAUCCCAUUAAUUUCCGGUUUCGUAGAAAACAGACAACCAGUACAUGAUUUUACCACUUAAAAAAAUCAUUUACACUUAUCAAAAUAUGUAAAAAAAAAAUGGAUCGAGUUGGGAUUCUCUCCUUUUAAAAACGUGCUUUUUAGAACUACUAAAAAACUUGCAUUUACAAAAUAGUUGAUAAAAAUAUUCCUCUGAAUUAUACAAGAAGAAAAGUAUAAGGAUCACCAAUUAAACACUUGGUACCAGAUGUUAUUCAGACUUCACCUCUUCUUUCUCUACCGCUGCAUCAGAUGCUGGGGUCUCCUCACUUUUAGUUUCUCCAUUUUCUGCAGGCAAGUUGUCCUUUAUCUGCUCUUGGUUUGUCUCUUCAGUCUGUUUUCCUUUAGGCCCCUUUUUCCCCUUUGAUUGAGCUUUCUUGUUCUCAGAUUUAUCCUUAGCCGCCAACGCCUUAGCUUUAGGCUCCGCUUUGUCAGGCACAGGUUUGGCGGACAGCCGCGCCGAUCUCCUCUUCGGUACCUCCUCAGCGGCCUCCGCGCCGCUGGCGGCCACCUUUCUCUUCGGCAUGGCGAAGCGCACGGUGGCUCCCGCCCGGCUGCUGCUGCGCUCUGAGUGCCUCACCGCCAGGCGCUGCGCAGGGAAACCGCCCCCCCCAUCCCAGCAGCGCCAGCGGCGCCGCAACAGGAUCCAGCCGGAUUGGCGGGGGAGAGGCGGGGCAGGGGGCGACGCGCUCCACGCUCGGCGGCAGCCGCCAGCGCCGCCUCCCGCGGGGCAGCAGCGGGGGGGGGGGGGGUGGACUGCGCCGGGCCUCCCCUCACGGCGGGGCGGGG